CUUCACACAUGACAAGUCGAACGAGGUAGCAAUACCUAGGUGGCGGACGGGUGAGUACGCGUGGAAUCUGUCCUUUAGAGUGGGGAAGUAACGGGUACGAAAGACUCGCUAAUACCGCAUAUGACGAAAGUUGAAAGGAGUAAUCCGUCUAAAGAUGAGCCCGCGUCCGAUUAGCUAGUUGGUAGAGUAAAAGCCUACCAAGGCGACGAUCGGUAGCUGGUCUGAGAGGAUGAUCAGCCACAAUGGGACUGAGACACGGCCCAUACUCCUACGGGAGGCAGCAGUGGGAAUUUUACGCAAUGGGCGAAAGCCUGACGUAGCGACACCGCGUGAGCGAAGAAGCCCCUUGGGGUGUAAAGCUCUGUCAGCUGGAACGAAAAAAUGACGGUACCAGCAGAGGAAGCAUCGGCUAACUACGUG
Molecule: ribosomal RNA, 420 nt
Filed under: uncultured bacterium
Lineage: Bacteria
Description: bacterial SSU rRNA
Rfam family: Bacterial small subunit ribosomal RNA
Source: RNAcentral